Molecule: long non-coding RNA, 948 nt
Filed under: Saimiri boliviensis boliviensis (Bolivian squirrel monkey)
Lineage: Eukaryota; Metazoa; Chordata; Mammalia; Primates; Cebidae
Description: lncRNA (ENSSBOG00000036458.1)
Source: RNAcentral
AGGAGAAUCACUUGAACCUGGGAGGAGACGGAGGUUGAAGUGAGCUGAGACCAUACCACUGCACUCCAGCCUGGGAGAAAGAGCAAAACUCCGUCUCAAAAAAAAAAAAAAAAAAAAAAAAAGUUAUCCCUCCCCACUUCACGUGCCACCUGUAUCCCAGGUAGUUCUGCACGAUGUGGAGGUACGCCUGCUUGUCUUCUCCGCCUGUCUGCCUCCUCUUCUCGGCUGUACUCCAGGUCCUUGACCUACCUGACAGCUUCUUUUGUCUUUCUUCACUGAGCGUUUUCAAGUCCAAGCUUCAGUUCGUCAAUUACAAGUCUGAACUUUCCCAAAGACCCAGCAGAACAUGAGACCCACACAUGGCACAAAGCCUGGUGGGCUGUGCUCCUGCCUGUGAACCUGGUUCCUGUUCCUUCACAGGUCCAAGUGGGUUCCCCGGGGUGACUACAUUGCCUCCAACACAGACGAAUGCACAGCCACGCUGAUGUAUACCGUCAACCUGAAGCAGUCGGGCACCGUUAACUUCGAAUACUACUACCCGGACUCCAGCAUCAUCUUUGAGUUUUUCGUUCAGAAUGACCAGUGCCAGCCCAAUGCAGAUGACUCCAGGUGGAUGAAGACCACAGAGAAAGGAUGGGAAUUCCACAGUGUGGAGCUAAAUCGAGGCAAUAAUGUCCUCUAUUGGAGAACCACAGCCUUCUCAGUAUGGUCCAAAGUGUCCAAGCCUGUGCUCGUGAGAAACAUCGCCAUAACAGGUGUGGCCUACACUUCAGAAUGCUUCCCCUGCAAACCCGGCACGUAUGCGGACAAGCAGGGCUCCUCUUUCUGCAAACUUUGCCCGGCCAACUCUUACUCAAAUAAAGGAGAAACUUCUUGCCACCAGUGUGACCCUGACAAAUACUCAGGUGAUGUUCCUGAGGGUAGGAAGAGUUUGGGGAUCGAGGGUAU